Non-coding RNA from Pholiota conissans, 86 nucleotides. NCBI's taxonomy places the organism in Eukaryota, Fungi, Basidiomycota, Agaricomycetes, Agaricales, Strophariaceae. The record is from the annotation of a GenBank genome assembly.
GGGCACUUGGCACAGUGGUAGCGCGCUUGCUUUGCAUUAAUUGAUAUGCUUGCACGAGGUCGAGGGUUCAAUCCCCUCAGUGUCCA